RNAcentral lists this long non-coding RNA (341 nucleotides) under Pan troglodytes (chimpanzee). Its description in RNAcentral is "long non-coding RNA NONPTRT010537". The record is from RNAcentral. Lineage: Eukaryota; Metazoa; Chordata; Mammalia; Primates; Hominidae.
GGCGAAGAGAGAAGAGGUGAGGGCGGUCGUCAGCUAAGGGCCCCGGGGCUCGCGGGGGGUGCGCAGGGCAGACUAUCAAGAUCUCCACUUAGGGAAGUGGGAAUCUUAUUUGCGGAACAUUGGGCAGAAGCUUUGACAUUGGCUGGUGGAGAAGGAGGAGGCAGAAUGUCUGCAUUGUUACACCAUACAGCUCAAACUUCAGAAGACUUUGGGUUAAGCAGUUACCAUUAGUCUGCAAAUGAUCGUGUUUUCACCUGAUCAUUAGAAACUAAUGAAACACCUUUUAAGUCUUAUGAAUUCAGGUUACACUGUUUUCCAGAUGCCUUGGCAGCUGGUACAGG